RNAcentral lists this non-coding RNA (22 nucleotides) under Arabidopsis thaliana (thale cress). Lineage: Eukaryota; Viridiplantae; Streptophyta; Magnoliopsida; Brassicales; Brassicaceae. The record is from RNAcentral.
CACCAACUCUGGUUGUCCAUGG